This 503-nucleotide ribosomal RNA is filed under the name uncultured bacterium. RNAcentral's name for it is "partial 16S ribosomal RNA". It matches the Rfam family "Bacterial small subunit ribosomal RNA", at positions 30 to 523 of the family's 1533-position model. The record is from RNAcentral.
AUUGAACGCUGGCGGCAGGCUUAACACAUGCAAGUCGAGCGGGGUGAUGGUGCUUGCACUAUCACUUAGCGGCGGACGGGUGAGUAAUGCUUAGGAAUCUGCCUAUUAGUGGGGGACAACAUCUCGAAAGGGAUGCUAAUACCGCAUACGUCCUACGGGAGAAAGCAGGGGAUCACUUGUGACCUUGCGCUAAUAGAUGAGCCUAAGUCGGAUUAGCUAGUUGGUGGGGUAAAGGCCUACCAAGGCGACGAUCUGUAGCGGGUCUGAGAGGAUGAUCCGCCACACUGGGACUGAGACACGGCCCAGACUCCUACGGGAGGCAGCAGUGGGGAAUAUUGGACAAUGGGGGGAACCCUGAUCCAGCCAUGCCGCGUGUGUGAAGAAGGCCUUAUGGUUGUAAAGCACUUUAAGCGAGGAGGAGGCUCUUUUGGUUAAUACCCAAGAUGAGUGGACAUUACUCGCAGAAUAAGCACCGGCUGACUCUGUGCCAGCAGCCGCAGUAA